Molecule: ribosomal RNA, 241 nt
Filed under: uncultured Staphylococcus sp.
Lineage: Bacteria; Bacillati; Bacillota; Bacilli; Caryophanales; Staphylococcaceae
Description: partial 16S ribosomal RNA
Rfam family: Bacterial small subunit ribosomal RNA
Source: RNAcentral
CGGACGGGUGAGUAACACGUGGAUAACCUACCUACAAGACUGGGAUAACUUCGGGAAACCGGAGCUAAUACCGGAUAAUAUUUUGAACCGCAUGGUUCAAAAGUGAAAGACGGUCUUGCUGUCACUUAUAGAUGGAUCCGCGCUGCAUUAGCUAGUUGGUAAGGUAACGGCUUACCAAGGCAACGAUGCAUAGCCGACCUGAGAGGGUGAUCGGCCACACUGGAACUGAGACACGGUCCAG